RNAcentral lists this ribosomal RNA (216 nucleotides) under Glomeromycotina sp. RNAcentral's name for it is "partial small subunit ribosomal RNA". The stretch from base 54 to 216 matches the Rfam family "Eukaryotic small subunit ribosomal RNA", at positions 700 to 864 of the family's 1831-position model. Lineage: Eukaryota; Fungi; Glomeromycota. The record is from RNAcentral.
GGGUCAGUAGGUUGGUCGUGCCACCGGUACGUACUGGUCACACUGAUCCCUCCUUCCUGAAGAACCGUAAUGCCAUUAAUUUGGUGUUGCGGGGAAACAGGACUGUUACUUUGAAAAAAUUAGAGUGUUUAAAGCAAGCUAACGCUUGAAUACAUUAGCAUGGAAUAAUGAAAUAGGACGAUCGAUCCUAUUUUGUUGGUUUCUAGGAUUGACGUA